AUUGAACGCUGGCGGCAGGCCUAACACAUGCAAGUCGGACGGUAGCACAGAGGAGCUUGCUCCUCGGGUGACGAGUGGCGGACGGGUGAGUAAUGUCUGGGGAUCUGCCCGAUAGAGGGGGAUAACCACUGGAAACGGUGGCUAAUACCGCAUAACGUCGCAAGACCAAAGAGGGGGACCUUCGGGCCUCUCACUAUAGGAUGAACACAGAUGGGAUUAGCUAGUAGGCGGGGUAAUGGCCCACCUAGGCGACGAUCCCUAGCUUGGCUGAGAGGAUGACCAGCCACACUGGAACUGAGACAUGGUCCAGACUCCUACGGGGGGUAGCAGUGGGGAAUAUUGCACAAUGGGCGCAAGCCUGAUGCAGCCAUGCCGCGUGUAUGAAGAAGGCCUUCGGGUUGUAAAGUACUUUCAGCGGGGAGGAAGGCGGUGAGGUUAAUAACCUCGCCGAUUGACGUUACCCGCAGAAGAAGCACCGGCUAACUCCGUGCCAGCCGCCGCGGUAA
Molecule: ribosomal RNA, 506 nt
Filed under: uncultured bacterium
Lineage: Bacteria
Description: partial 16S ribosomal RNA
Rfam family: Bacterial small subunit ribosomal RNA
Source: RNAcentral